AGAGUUUGAUCCUGGCUCAGAUUGAACGCUGGCGGCAGGCCUAACACAUGCAAGUCGAGCGGAUGAAGGGAGCUUGCUCCCUGAUUCAGCGGCGGACGGGUGAGUAAUGCCUAGGAAUCUGCCUGGUAGUGGGGGACAACGUCUCGAAAGGGACGCUAAUACCGCAUACGUCCUACGGGAGAAAGUGGGGGCUCUUCGGACCUCACGCUAUCAGAUGAGCCUAGGUCGGAUUAGCUAGUUGGUGGGGUAAUGGCUCACCAAGGCGACGAUCCGUAACUGGUCUGAGAGGAUGAUCAGUCACACUGGAACUGAGACACGGUCCAGACUCCUACGGGAGGCAGCAGUGGGGAAUAUUGGACAAUGGGCGAAAGCCUGAUCCAGCCAUGCCGCGUGUGUGAAGAAGGUCUUCGGAUUGUAAAGCACUUUAAGUUGGGAGGAAGGGCACUGACCUAAUACGUCUGUGUUUUGACGUUACCGACAGAAUAAGCACCGGCUAACUCUGUGCCAGCAGCCGCGGUAAUAC
RNAcentral lists this ribosomal RNA (523 nucleotides) under Pseudomonas sp. MSB2138. RNAcentral describes it as "bacterial SSU rRNA". It matches the Rfam family "Bacterial small subunit ribosomal RNA", at positions 8 to 526 of the family's 1533-position model. Lineage: Bacteria; Pseudomonadati; Pseudomonadota; Gammaproteobacteria; Pseudomonadales; Pseudomonadaceae. The record is from RNAcentral.